UACGUAGGGAGCGAGCGUUGUCCGAAGUUACUGGGCGUAAAGCGCGCGUAGGCGGGCUGUUAAGUGAGAGGUGAAAGGCUGGGGCUCAACCCCAUGCAGUGCCUCUCAUACUGGCGGUCUUGAAUUCGGCAGGGAGAAGUGGAAUGGCUGGUGUAGCGGUGAAAUGCGUAGAUAUCAGUCGGAACACCGGUGGCGAAGGCGGCGACCUGGUCCUUGACUGACGCUGAGGCGCGAAAGCGUGGGGAGCAAACAGG
RNAcentral lists this ribosomal RNA (254 nucleotides) under uncultured bacterium. RNAcentral's name for it is "partial 16S ribosomal RNA". It matches the Rfam family "Bacterial small subunit ribosomal RNA", at positions 524 to 776 of the family's 1533-position model. The record is from RNAcentral.